GGUUAAGCGACUAAGCGUACACGGUGGAUGCCCUGGCAGUCAGAGGCGAUGAAGGGCGUGCUAAUCUGCGAUAAGCGCCGGUAAGGUGAUAUGAACCGUUAUAACCGGCGAUACCCGAAUGGGGAAACCCAGUGUGWYUCGWCACACUAUCAUUAACUGAAUCCAUAGGUUAAUGAGGCGAACCGGGGGAACUGAAACAUCUAAGUACCCCGAGGAAAAGAAAUCAACCGAGAUUCCCCCAGUAGCGGCGAGCGAACGGGGAG
Molecule: ribosomal RNA, 263 nt
Filed under: Salmonella enterica
Lineage: Bacteria; Pseudomonadati; Pseudomonadota; Gammaproteobacteria; Enterobacterales; Enterobacteriaceae
Description: partial 23S ribosomal RNA
Source: RNAcentral